AAACUUAAAGGAAUUGACGGGGGCCCGCACAAGCAGUGGAGUAUGUGGUUUAAUUCGAAGCAACGCGAAGAACCUUACCAGGUCUUGACAUCCUAGGAACGGCUAAGAGAUUAGCUGGUGCCUUUCGGGGAAUCUAGAGACAGGUGGUGCAUGGUUGUCGUCAGCUCGUGUCGUGAGAUGUUGGGUUAAGUCCCGCAACGAGCGCAACCCUUGUGAUUAGUUGCUACAUUUAGUUGAGCACUCUAAUCAGACUGCCGUUGACAAAACGGAGGAAGGUGGGGACGACGUCAAAUCAUCAUGCCCUUUAUGACCUGGGCUACACACGUACUACAAUGGUCGCUAACAGAGGGAUGCAAUGCCGCGAGGUGGAGCAAAACCCUAAAAGCGAUCUCAGUUCGGAUUGUAGGCUGCAACUCGCCUACAUGAAGUUGGAAUUGCUAGUAAUCGCGGAUCAGCAUGCCGCGGUGAAUACGUUCCCGGGCCUUGUACACACCGCCCGUCACACCAUGGGAGCCGGUAAUACCCGAAGUCAGUAGUCUAACCGCAAGGAGGACGCUGCCGAAGGUAGGAUUGGCGACUGGGGUGAAGUCGUAACAAGGUAGCCGUAUCGGAAGGUGCGGCUGGAUCACCUCCUUUAU
This 638-nucleotide ribosomal RNA is filed under the name uncultured Oscillospiraceae bacterium. RNAcentral describes it as "bacterial SSU rRNA". It matches the Rfam family "Bacterial small subunit ribosomal RNA", at positions 897 to 1533 of the family's 1533-position model. Lineage: Bacteria; Bacillati; Bacillota; Clostridia; Eubacteriales; Oscillospiraceae. The record is from RNAcentral.